CAAAAAGCAUUCAGGAAUAGUAAAUUUUUUUGAGAUGAGGGCAGAGCAUAAAGUUAGCCUUGCCUCAGUGAGACUGUGCAAUGCCAUGUGGUUACUGGAGCAAGGGUAUUCUUCAUCAUCUGUGGCAAUGAGAACCUCACUCCCUGCAGGAAUAUAGAUGCAUCGAAGUGCAGAGAGAUCCAGUGAAGCACCAUCAGCCACCCCAGCUACAACAGAACUCAUUUCUUCUAUAUAACAGAACAGGAAGGCUCCCAGGUCUCUUCACAAAAGCAAAGGAGAAAGUUGACAGGUGGAGUUAUAGUGGCCAUUAUGACUUCUUCCAGCAUGGUUCCAUCUAUUGUGACUAUUGGAGGAGGCCAGAGGUGAAGAGGGAAAGCAGUCAGAUAGGACCAACAUUUGAUAAAGCAGUAGAAAUGGAGCAUCUGCAAGCAGAGUUUCAUCAUCUAGAAAUCUGUGUGCUGGACUCAGAAAGAAAAGGAAAGAAAAGAAAGAAGAAAGAACGAAAGAAAAAGAAAAGAAAGAAAGAAAGAAGAAAGAAAGGAAGGAAGAAAGGAAGGAAAAAGAGAGAGAGAGAAACGGUUGAAAAUUGGGUGGACGUGUGGACAAUUCACAGAUUUGUGCAGACUCUGAAGAUCCUCAUCUUUCUCUCUUCCCAGCCUGAAUCUGGGAGGAUCCGAAGGGGAAAUCUAAUGAAAAUAGUUAGGCAAGCAUAUAUAUUUGGUUCAAUCAGAAAGAAUUAGAAGACUUCUUCUAAAUGUUAG
RNAcentral lists this long non-coding RNA (761 nucleotides) under Heterocephalus glaber (naked mole-rat). Its description in RNAcentral is "lncRNA (ENSHGLG00100027641.2)". The record is from RNAcentral. Lineage: Eukaryota; Metazoa; Chordata; Mammalia; Rodentia; Bathyergidae.